AUUGAACGCUGGCGGCAUGCCUUACACACGCAAGUCGAACGGCAGCACGGGAGCAAUCCUGGUGGUGAGUGGCGAACGGGUGAGUAAAGUAUCGGAACGUGCCCAGUCGUGGGGGAUAACGUAGCGAAAGUUACGCUAAUACCGCAUACGAUCUAUGGAUGAAAGCGGGGGAUCGCAAGACCUCGCGCGAUUGGAGCGGCCGAUAUCAGAUUAGGUAGUUGGUGGGGUAAAGGCUCACCAAGCCGACGAUCUGUAGCUGGUCUGAGAGGACGACCAGCCAGACUGGGACUGAGACACGGCCCAGACUCCUACGGGAGGCAGCAGUGGGGAAUUUUGGACAAUGGGCGAAAGCCUGAUCCAGCCAUGCCGCGUGCAGGAUGAAGGCCUUCGGGUUGUAAACUGCUUUUGUACGGAACGAAAAGGUUGGGCUAAUAAGCUGAGCUCAUGACGGUACCGUAAGAAUAAGCACCGGCUAACUACGUGCCAGCAGCCGCCGUAA
This 499-nucleotide ribosomal RNA is filed under the name uncultured bacterium. Its description in RNAcentral is "partial 16S ribosomal RNA". It matches the Rfam family "Bacterial small subunit ribosomal RNA", at positions 30 to 523 of the family's 1533-position model. The record is from RNAcentral.